RNAcentral lists this ribosomal RNA (1375 nucleotides) under uncultured bacterium. RNAcentral's name for it is "bacterial SSU rRNA". It matches the Rfam family "Bacterial small subunit ribosomal RNA". The record is from RNAcentral.
GAGUUUGAUCCUGGCUCAGGACGAACGCUGGCGGCGUGCUUAACACAUGCAAGUCGAACGGUAAGGCCCCAGCUUGCUGGGGUACACGAGUGGCGAACGGGUGAGUAACACGUGGGUGACCUGCCCCGCACUUCGAGAUAAGCCUGGGAAACUGGGUCUAAUACCGGAUAGGACCGCACCGUGAGGGUGUGGUGGAAAGUUUUUCGGUGUGGGAUGGGCCCGCGGCCUAUCAGCUUGUUGGUGGGGUAAUGGCCUACCAAGGCGGCGACGGGUAGCCGGCCUGAGAGGGUGGACGGCCACAUUGGGACUGAGACACGGCCCAGACUCCUACGGGAGGCAGCAGUGGGGAAUAUUGCACAAUGGGCGGAAGCCUGAUGCGGCGACGCCGCGUGGGGGAUGACGGCCUUCGGGUUGUAAACUCCUUUCACCAUCGACGAAGGUUUUCUGAUGGUAGAUGGAGAAGAAGCACCGGCUAACUACGUGCCAGCAGCCGCGGUAAUACGUAGGGUGCGAGCGUUGUCCGGAAUUACUGGGCGUAAAGAGCUCGUAGGUGGUUUGUCGCGUCGUCUGUGAAAUUCCGGGGCUUAACUCCGGGCGUGCAGGCGAUACGGGCAUAACUUGAGUACUGUAGGGGAGACUGGAACUCCUGGUGUAGCGGUGAAAUGCGCAGAUAUCAGGAGGAACACCGGUGGCGAAGGCGGGUCUCUGGGCAGUAACUGACGCUGAGGAGCGAAAGCAUGGGUAGCGAACAGGAUUAGAUACCCUGGUAGUCCAUGCCGUAAACGGUGGGCGCUAGGUGUAGGGGUCUUCCACGACUUCUGUGCCGUAGCUAACGCAUUAAGCGCCCCGCCUGGGGAGUACGGCCGCAAGGCUAAAACUCAAAGGAAUUGACGGGGGCCCGCACAAGCGGCGGAGCAUGUGGAUUAAUUCGAUGCAACGCGAAGAACCUUACCUGGGCUUGACAUAUACGGGAUCGCCGCAGAGAUGUGGUUUCCCUUGUGGCUCGUAUACAGGUGGUGCAUGGUUGUCGUCAGCUCGUGUCGUGAGGUGUUGGGUUAAGUCCCGCAACGAGCGCAACCCUUGUCUUAUGUUGCCAGCACGUUAUGGUGGGGACUCGUGAGAAACUGCCGGGGUCAACUCGGAGGAAGGUGGGGAUGACGUCAAAUCAUCAUGCCCCUUAUGUCCAGGGCUUCACACAUGCUACAAUGGUCGGUACAGUGGGUUGCGAUGCCGUGAGGCGGAGCUAAUCCCUUAAAGCCGGUCUCAGUUCGGAUCGGGGUCUGCAACUCGACCCCGUGAAGUCGGAGUCGCUAGUAAUCGCAGAUCAGCAACGCUGCGGUGAAUACGUUCCCGGGCCUUGUACACGCCGCCCGUC